UCAGGCCUAACACAUGCAAGUCGAGCGGAAACGAGUUAUCUGAACCUUCGGGGAACGAUAACGGCGUCGAGCGGCGGACGGGUGAGUAAUGCCUAGGAAAUUGCCCUGAUGUGGGGGAUAACCAUUGGAAACGAUGGCUAAUACCGCAUGAUGCCUACGGGCCAAAGAGGGGGACCUUCGGGCCUCUCGCGUCAGGAUAUGCCUAGGUGGGAUUAGCUAGUUGGUGAGGUAAGGGCUCACCAAGGCGACGAUCCCUAGCUGGUCUGAGAGGAUGAUCAGCCACACUGGAACUGAGACACGGUCCAGACUCCUACGGGAGGCAGCAGUGGGGAAUAUUGCACAAUGGGCGCAAGCCUGAUGCAGCCAUGCCGCGUGUGUGAAGAAGGCCUUCGGGUUGUAAAGCACUUUCAGUCGUGAGGAAGGCGGGUACGUUAAUAGCGUAUUCGUUUGACGUUAGCGACAGAAGAAGCACCGGCUAACUCCGUGCCAGCAGCCGCGGUAAUACGGAGGGUGCGAGCGUUAAUCGGAAUUACUGGGCGUAAAGCGCAUGCAGGUGGUUUGUUAAGUCAGAUGUGAAAGCCCGGGGCUCAACCUCGGAAUAGCAUUUGAAACUGGCAGACUAGAGUACUGUAGAGGGGGGUAGAAUUUCA
This 650-nucleotide ribosomal RNA is filed under the name uncultured bacterium. RNAcentral describes it as "bacterial SSU rRNA". It matches the Rfam family "Bacterial small subunit ribosomal RNA", at positions 42 to 671 of the family's 1533-position model. The record is from RNAcentral.